GAUGAACGCUGGCGGCGUGCCUAAUACAUGCAAGUCGAGCGGUAAGGCUCUGCACUUAGUAUUUGAUUGAUAAUCAACCUCUAGGCUAGAGGAAGUAGAUCGAAUAAUAAGUGUAGAGUACACGAGCGGCGGACGGCUGAGUAACGCGUAGGAACGUACCCAAAGUGAGGGAUAAGCACCGGAAACGGUGUCUAAUACCGCAUGUGGUCUUCGGAUUAAAGCUUUAUGCGCUUUGGGAACGGCCUGCGUCUGAUUAGCUUGUUGGUGAGGUAAAAGCUCACCAAGGCGACGAUCGGUAGCUGGUCUGAGAGGAUGAUCAGCCAGACUGGGACUGAGACACGGCCCAGACUCCUACGGGAGGCAGCAGUAGGGAAUUUUCCACAAUGGACGAAAGUCUGAUGGAGCAACGCCGCGUGCAGGAUGAAGGCUUUCGGGUCGUAAACUGCUUUUAUAUGUGAAGAUUAUGACGGUAGCAUAUGAAUAAGGAUCGG
This 491-nucleotide ribosomal RNA is filed under the name uncultured bacterium. RNAcentral's name for it is "bacterial SSU rRNA". It matches the Rfam family "Bacterial small subunit ribosomal RNA", at positions 28 to 496 of the family's 1533-position model. The record is from RNAcentral.